This 831-nucleotide long non-coding RNA is filed under the name Rattus norvegicus (Norway rat). RNAcentral's name for it is "long non-coding RNA NONRATT010210". Lineage: Eukaryota; Metazoa; Chordata; Mammalia; Rodentia; Muridae. The record is from RNAcentral.
GUGAUGGCAAAGCAUUAAGGAGGAGUAACCGGCUGCCUGUCAGAUCAGACCUGUCACAGAAUAAAUAUCACCGCCUGCUGCGACGCCCCCCGCGCUCCUCAAACUUGGCGAACUGGUAAUCCGUGUCUGGAAAUGCAGAUCUUUGAUUUUAAAGGCGGGGUGACCCCGGGGAGAACCUCUCCCGCCUCCCGAAGCCCGCAGGUGCAGUGAGGCGUGCGCACGGGCGCUGGCGCCCCUGAAGCCCGCUUGACCCCGGGGGAAGGAGUCGGGGAGCCCAGCGGGGUCUUGCUGCUGCGCACCGGCGUCGGCGGCUCCUCUCCCGCAGUAGCAGAUGAUGGUGGCUGCCGGCGUGCUGGGCUGUGUCUGUGCGUCGCCGCGGAAAUCGGCGCCUGGCGCUGUACCCUGAGCCCUUGCAGGUCCGUCGCAGCUCGAGCCUUGAAGAGGACAGAACCGGCGCCCGGGGUACCCGAGGGUCGCGCGGUGUUGGCUUAUCAUGGCGGAUCGGACAGCUCCCAGAUGCCAGCUCCGGCUGGAGUGGGUGUACGGGUACCGGGGUCACCAGUGCCGCAACAACCUGUACUACACCGCCAGCAAGGAGGUGGUCUACUUUGUAGCUGGGGUAGGGGUGGUGUACAACACCCGAGAGCACAGCCAAAAAUUUUUCCUGGGACACAACGACGACAUUAUCAGACAAAGCCCCCUGCCUUUCUUCUCUGAUUUGAGAAUGGCUGUGCCUGGGGCAUCCUUACUCAAUUCUAUCCUAUGGAUCCUGCAGAUUCUGCUUCCCUAAUUGUGUGGCUGAUUAUUAAAGGCACAGGUGCAAAUGAUUAA